AUUGAACGCUGGCGGCAGGCCUAACACAUGCAAGUCGAGCGGAUGAAGGGAGCUUGCUCCUGGAUUCAGCGGAGGACGGGUGAGUAAUGCCUAGGAAACUGCCUGGUAGUGGGGGAUAACGUCCGGAAACGGGCGCUAAUACCGCAUACGUCCUGAGGGAGCACGCGGGGGCCUUUCUGAUCUCACGCUUUCAGAUGAGCCUAGGUCGGAUUAGCUAGUUGGUGAGGUACAGGCCUACCAAGGCGACGAUCCGUAACUGGUCUGUGAGGAUGAUCUGUCACCCUGGAACUGAGACACGUUCCAGACUCCUACGGGAGGCAGCAGUGUGGAAUAUUGUACAGUGGGCAGAAGCCUGAUCCAGCCAUGCCGCGUGUUUGAAGAAGGUCUUCGGAUUUUAGAGCACUUUAAGUUGGGAGGAAGGGCAGUAAAUUAAUACCUUGCUGUUUUGGCGUUACCAACAGAAUAAGCACCGGCUAACUUCGUG
Molecule: ribosomal RNA, 484 nt
Filed under: uncultured bacterium
Lineage: Bacteria
Description: partial 16S ribosomal RNA
Rfam family: Bacterial small subunit ribosomal RNA
Source: RNAcentral